This 2349-nucleotide long non-coding RNA is filed under the name Dermacentor andersoni. RNAcentral describes it as "uncharacterized LOC126542255". The record is from RNAcentral. Lineage: Eukaryota; Metazoa; Arthropoda; Arachnida; Ixodida; Ixodidae.
UUGGGAACAAAGCCAUCAUAUUCUUCAAUUUCUUUUUUUUUGCAAGAUUUUACUCAUUAAAGUUUUGCUUUGUGGCAUGUGAAAAUUAAAAUAUUUUCACUUACUAAUGUCAUCACCUUUACAGGAUAAGAAAUCUCACUUCAACACACAUAGAGAGACAAAAUAGAUACGUCCUAAAUGACUGCUUGUUGGCUUAGACUUUAGUAUCAGUGGUCAUGGUAUAUUCAUCUUCAGCAAAAAUUAAGGCUGCUGGUGAACUCAUGCACAUGCUAAUACAGAAAUUAAUGCACUGAAGUAUGCAAAUCACUGAUUCCUUACGAGCAAUGCACUGAGUAGUGUCCUUAAAAGACUUGCAUCAGAAGAAUGCAUGAAAGGGCUAGUUGGUGCAUAUUAAUAAACCUUAGCACAACUCGGACACCAGGAAGAUGGGACCACUAUGCAAUCAGAACACCAAAGAAUUAAUAAAGAAACAUGCCAAGUUUGUAGAAUAUACUGUCGGCACAGCUGUAAAAUUUCUUAGCAUGUGGAAACAUCAGCCACACUGUCAAGUGUGAUAAGUGCCUGAGAGAUCAUGAGCGGUCUUUACCAGCAGGAACCAGCUCACGUUUAGCAAAACACUGCAAAAUGUGCACUUGUUAGGCUCUUCUCAAAGAUUGUGACAUUGAAACGGAGCCGGGAUAUUACUGCCCAAGAAUUAUCAAAAGUAUUUUUUUACAAUAUCACUUGGAUCAGAAUGUGUCAAUGUUUCUUCUAUUUCUCUGUACAACACUGAAUUUGGUCUUUUAGAAUCCCUUGUACAAUUUUCUCUUUUGAUCUGUCUCUCACAAUGGCUUCUCUAUGCAUGCUCAUUAUGUCUGGUUUCUUAUGAGUAAGGGUGUGAUGUCAUAAAGAUGCUAGCUAUUGCCACAUCCUGUCUCCUCCUUUUGUCAUCCUGUUUGUGCUAAGGUUUAUUAUGGAGAAUGUUAUCUCAGCAGCACAUGUGGUGUUCAUUACACAUUGUGUGAAUUAAGUGUUGCAUUGUACAGUGUCAGAGUAGCUAUAAGUAGUAGUGUUCUGUUUGGUGGGAUCUCCUUCUCAGGAUGCUGUUGCACAAAGUAUCCACAUUUUUAGAGGCUUGUAGGACCAACAAUCCUGCUUGACACUACAUGGCAGGUGGCCAAGGUAAUACAAAAGUGAAAAUGGGAAAACGUGUGCAGAAUAUUUGCCUACAAUGGGUGCCCUAUGAGCAAUAUGAAAAGGGACACCUAAAAUUUAAUUUUAAGGGGCUCUAGGGCCUAAAUACAGAUUCCUGAUGUAAAAUGUUUCAUUGAGACUGGAUAUUCAACAAGAAGGCUACUUGCUGCAUAUUAACAUGCGAUAUUUCAAUACACACAAUUCAAGUAAUCAUUACUUGAAAACGAAUUCAGUGUGCCCUGUCAUUUUGCUCUCAACUGUACACCCUACACUAAGCAACAGCUUAUGGGCAGAGAAUGCUUGAAACGUGAACAUAAACUGGCAGAAUUUGAUGAUGGUUCCUAAAGGGAGCACACAUCUGUAAAGUUCUUCUUCAUUCUUUUUCACAAACGUUGGAAAUGCCUCGCUUCAGCAAGUACUACAGCAAAAAAGUCAAGCCGUUCUUUUAAUAGCAGAGUAACUGUGGUAACAGAUGCUGGCUGUUGUGGAGCUUGAGCAAUGUCUUAGAAGUAACAAGUGUGAUGUGAAAUUUAGCAGGCUGUGCAUAAUUGGGCAAGAUGGCAAAAGAGCCAGUGUCUGUGCCACCUGUCUUUUGGGCAUUGUGACAACUGUGACCACGCUUCUGAUAACGAUGUGUGCCUUUAUUUGUCUAGAGCAUGGUGGGCAUGUCUAUGCUAUCCUUUUCUUAAAGAGCGAGCAUGUCCGGGGACUUGAGCUAUGCAAACAGCCUGCUGCAGCAUUCUACGAGUACGGAUUGCAUCUGCAUUCACACCAGCAUGGCUGCAAAAGGCUGGUCAUGCAGAUUCAGCACACUGAAUAACCUACCACAUUAACUCUCUGAUGAACUAAAGAACAGAGGGAUAUGAUGUGAAUCAUGUGUAAGCGAAGUGUUUUGGUGGAUGAGGCAUCUCAUUUCCUAAGAGAGUGAUGCUAGUGUCAAAGAGUAAAUCAUAUUUCAAAUGAACUAACUUCUUGCACUGCAUGGUUAUCUUGAAAUUUGCAUUAGACUUGGAUAAUGUUAAGAGUAUAGUGCACAACCUUGGCAACAGAUAGCUUACAGUGCAACGCAUUAGUCCCCUCUUCCCACAAAUAUCAGCCCACUGCAGCGAAGGAGCUUGUAUGCAAUAUAACUGUCCUCCACAGGGAAUGCAUUGAAUCAUACACAAAACAAGAGCA